GCAGCCUACUCUUAUUGAUAGAUUUCUUUAUUUUGUCUUCACCUUUUACUCAUGCUAUGUUAACAAAAACUCCAUCUGUUCUUCGUGGUGGUAGGCGUCCUGCAUUUCAUUUUACGGAUCUUCAUCAAAGAAAUCCUUUGCAUUUUUCUACAGUUUCUCAUUAUCUUCGAUCUUCUUAAAUUUUGUCAUGGAAGCAACACGUAUCAUUUAGGCAUC
Molecule: long non-coding RNA, 216 nt
Filed under: Elaeis guineensis (African oil palm)
Lineage: Eukaryota; Viridiplantae; Streptophyta; Magnoliopsida; Arecales; Arecaceae
Description: long non-coding RNA (EGUI_LNC031839)
Source: RNAcentral